Molecule: long non-coding RNA, 3560 nt
Filed under: Podarcis lilfordi (Lilford's wall lizard)
Lineage: Eukaryota; Metazoa; Chordata; Lepidosauria; Squamata; Lacertidae
Source: RNAcentral
GGGUAACCUCUGUUAAGUUGUGGGUGAGCAUAUCAGGCGAUACAGCAAUUCUUCAAACUGCUUUUGUUUAUUCACAGGCCAGAACAGAACAGAACUGAAGGGUUCAGCCAGCCUGCUUAUAUAGAGCUCCACUACAACGCAACAGUAACCACUUUCUGUAACUAUCCAAUCACUGAACGUCACUUUCAAUCCCUUAUUUGCAUAUGUGGACCUGAGUGAGAACGAUCUACAGUAUCCCUCUGCUGGCCCAGGGUGUGAACUUCAGUACAUAACAACAUCUGCCCAGAUGUUUAUGAUUAGGAGCUGUGUUUACCUUGGUCAAGCACCCACGGGUGAUACUCAUACUGACUGAGCUGUGAUGCCUGGCACGCAAUUCUCACAGGACCACCAGGAAUAACCUUGUGGCGAGGUAUGUUUAGUGGGUGGGUGGGUUCUAACAGCAGGGAGAGCCAACAUGGUGCCCUUCGGAUGUUGUUGGACUACCGCUCCCAUCAGCCCCAGUGAAGGACGCCAAUGGUCAGGGAUGAUGGGGGUUAUGGUCCAAUAUCGCCCGGAGGGUGUCCCAUUGGCUACCCCUGUUGCAAAGCACACACAGUAGGAAAUUGUUAUGGGGAAUGGAAAAGACGGAAUCUGGGAGUUUAAAACAAGCAGGGGACUCGGCUACAUCAGUGAAGAAACAGUGAUUUGAAUGCAACACCAGAUGGCGCCAGAGAGCAGGAAAUUUUAAAACACGAUUUUCCAUAUAGAUUCCCCCCCCCCUUUGUUAUAAUGAUCUAAUUUCUGACUUAUUUAUAGUGGGGGUUUUCCUGUGUCUAGAUCCACCCCAGGACUGUAUGGCUGAUGGAAAAGAUAUGAUGUGUAUAAGGCCAUUCUAGAGAUCAUGGGAAGGGUCUCUUGAAGCCACUCCCCUGCCAGGAAUCUGGCUGCUCCCUCUUCAUUUUCUCCUUCCUUUGUUCACAUUCCAUUCUUCAAGCUAAAUGCCAUGCUAAGGCUGGCACUGCCAUUAUCCACAUUUCUAACACUUUAUCGCUCUUCCUUGGAUUCUGUUUGGUUUGUUGACUGCUUCUCUCUCUCUCUCUCUCUCUUUCUCUCUCCAUCAGUAUUAAACAACAGGAGUCCUGAUCACAGAUCUCAUAUAGCGUGGCCCUAAAUUGCAUACGUUUCUUUGUCAUUGCACUUUUAUUAUGGACAGGCAAAAUAUGUCAAUUUCAGUUUCUAUUUUUUUCUGUCUUAAGUUCACUUGUUCACACUCAGUUUGCUUCUUCUUCUUCUUUUAAAAAAAGUCCCUGUGAAAGUUCCUCAGCACCGUAGUGCGAAUUACUUCUAAAACACAUGUCUUUGUCUGCAAUUUCCCCUAACGUACACAUUUUCGCAAAGCCACUUUCCUUUCUGUAAUGCAUUCUUGAAUGUUGUUUUCACCAACGUGCAUUUACGAUCACAUUUCUAAUCACUGCCGGUGUUUCACGCUUGGGUUUCUAUGCACUGUAGAGCAAAGUUGCGCGUGCUACACUAAGAAAGGGACGGAUCUUUAGCGCAGAAGGAAGAAAAGUCAUCAGAGGGUUGUGUGAAUGACCAUGGAUGGUGUGUGUGUGUGUGUGUGUGUGUGUGUGUGUGUGUUUGGGACCUUUCUAGGUCCCAAAUUCCACCCUACCCCCCCCACCCCACUUGCAAGAUGAAGCCAUUCUUUGGAUAUGGGAGUAUGGGACUCGGGCACUAAAUCAUAGCCAAGCUCCUGCAGGAAUUAAAGACCUGAUCUUUCACCUUUCUGAUCAGGGUGUGGUGGAAACAGUGAAUCUGGUGGUCUGGAUUUGAGGUCAGCUGCCCUUCAGUGCUUGGUCAUCACCAUCACAAAAAGGGCACUAUAAUUUAGCCAGGAAGGGAAGUUGGCCGAUUGAUUUAGAUCCCUGGAGGUGUCUCCUCUAACCUCACCCCUCUCAGAACCGGGUCAGGGCUGGGUUAUGGGCAAAGUGCAGCAAGCUGGAAGGGGGUCUGAUAUCCACCUUCCUGCAGCUGGUGUAUGAACACCAUAGCUCCUGUGUCUUUUCUGUGGACAAGUAACCAAGCCUCCUCCAAUUAUUUGACCUACUCAGUGGCCAUUGGAACAAGUUAGGAAGGGAUUAGCAGGGAAUUGUCCUCCUUGGUAUCAUUCCCGCCCCCCUUUUGAUUACUCAUAUAUUUAUUACCUCUGUCCUUUGCCUUUUGGUACCCAAAGGCAGUUUGCAUAUUGCAUUAGGAGCUUGAACUGAAAAGAUAUUUGAGUACCGGGGUAAGUGUAAUGCAACAAGAAAUUAAAAUGUGGUUCAGGUAAACAGCGGAGGGGCUUGAUUUGUGCUGGAGAGUUGUGUUGCUCUGGAAAAUUCAUUUUAUCAGAUGUUAUUCCAUCGGUUCUACACCCCAGUCAAGAGGAAGCUUAGAGGUGGAGAUGUAAUAAAAGCACUUUAAGCAUAUUUGGAAGUGGGUUUUUUUUGAAAUAAAAACAAUCAAAUGCUUGAUGAACUUAAAGAGGUGAGCGAUGGGAAUAAAUAGUAUUGAUGCAAGGUGAUUAGUGCAAUGAUUUGGGUUGCUACAAGCCGCUGGGAACAACGAGGUCUUCCUUCAAACUAAGAAAUGCCCAAGAAAAUUGUGACAGGCAGCACUGAUGUAUAAGCAAAUUGACAUAUUAUAAAACAUUGUGGGUUGGUUAAGAAACAAUAAAAGAACCUUUUGGCAAUUGGCGGCCUUUUCUUAGAUAUUGUAACAUAGCAAAUCUAUUGGAAAAUGUGAGGCCAGAAGUGUUGAAUGUGAUAUAGAAGUAUUAUUGAACAUGCCGAACAGAAUAUAGAUUUUUGUGUUAAUUUUUAUGAGCUCCCCUUUAAUUUACUAAAUUGGAUCCCUUAUUUUAUUGCUUUUUUCCUCUAGUGGUCCUUCGCUAGAAAGAAUAAUUUGUAGAAUGUGUACUCAUUGUAUGGAUGUCCUAAAUGUUUUUGUGGCAUAAUACAAAUGUAAAUAAAAAUCUAGCAGUUAAAGGAGCUACUUAGGGUGUUUCCAGACAGGGCCUCAAUAUUACAAAUGGGUCAUUGAGAUAUCGCAAAUGUUGGGAGCAGGUUUUUUAUUUAGGUGUCAGAUUUUCCUCAGAAAGGGAAAAUCCAGAGUAAAUAGGGGGUGGCGGGUGUUAAGUUGUGGGUGAACAUAUCAGAUGACACAACGAUUCCUCAAACAGCUCUUGUUUAUUCACAGGCUCAGAACAGAACUGGGCUGAAGGGUUCAGCCAGCCUGCUUAUAUAGAGCUCAACUACAAAGCAACAGUAACAACUUUCUGUAACUAUCCAAUCACUGAACGUCACUUUCAAUUCCUUAUUUGCAUAUGUGGACCUGAGUGAAAACUAUCUAUAGUAUCCCCCUGCUGGCCCAGGGUGAGAACUUCAGUACAUAACAGCAGGGGUUGGGAGAGGGCUGGCCUUUUGAUGCCAACAACAUUGUGCUGGAGUUGCAAAAUAAAUGAUUCCGCAUCAAAUACUCAUCUGGAAGUACCUUGACAAAAGCUCCCUUGUGUUAGGGGACCAGCCAGCAAUAAAUCACAC